RNAcentral lists this ribosomal RNA (395 nucleotides) under uncultured bacterium. RNAcentral describes it as "partial 16S ribosomal RNA". It matches the Rfam family "Bacterial small subunit ribosomal RNA", at positions 523 to 918 of the family's 1533-position model. The record is from RNAcentral.
AUACGUAGGGUGCAAGCGUUAAUCGGAAUUACUGGGCGUAAAGCGUGCGCAGGCGGUUUUGUAAGACAGUGGUGAAAUCCCCGGGCUCAACCUGGGAACUGCCAUUGUGACUGCAAGGCUGGAGUGCGGCAGAGGGGGAUGGAAUUCCGCGUGGAGCAGUGAAAUGCGUAGAUAUGCGGAGGAACACUGAUGGCGAAGGCAAUCCCCUGGGCCUGCACUGACGCUCAUGCACGAAAGCGUGGGGAGCAAACAGGAUUAGAUACCCUGGUAGUCCACGCCCUAAACGAUGUCAACUGGUUGUUGGGGAUUUAUUUUCUCAGUAACGAAGCUAACGCGUGAAGUUGACCGCCUGGGGAGUACGGCCGCAAGGUUAAAACUCAAAUGAAUUGGCGGGG